GAGUUUGAUCGUGGCUCAGAGCGAACGCUGGCGGCAGGCCUAACACAUGCAAGUCGAGCGCCCAGCAAUGGGAGCGGCAGACGGGAGAGUAACACGUGGGAACGUACCCUUCAGUUCGGAACAACCCAGGGAAACUUGGGCUAAUACCGAAUACGUCCGUAAGGAGAAAGAUUUAUCGCUGAAGGAUCGGCCCGCGUCUGAUUAGCUAGUUGGUGGGGUAAUGGCCCACCAAGGCGACGAUCAGUAGCUGGUCUGAGAGGAUGAUCAGCCUCACUGGGACUGAGACACGGCCCAGACUCCUACGGGAGGCAGCAGUGGGGAAUAUUGGACAAUGGGCGCAAGCCUGAUCCAGCCAUGCCGCGUGGAUGAUGAAGGCCUUAGGGUUGUAAAGCACUUUUGUUGGGGAAGAAAAGCUUCUGGUUAAUACCCGGGAGUUCUGACGGUACCCAAAGAAUAAGCACCGGCUAACUACGUGCCAGCCGCCGCGGUAAC
Molecule: ribosomal RNA, 492 nt
Filed under: uncultured Alphaproteobacteria bacterium
Lineage: Bacteria; Pseudomonadati; Pseudomonadota; Alphaproteobacteria
Description: bacterial SSU rRNA
Rfam family: Bacterial small subunit ribosomal RNA
Source: RNAcentral